CACGUGUGGGGCCAGCCCGCUGGCUCCCCCUCACGGCGGAGAAGGAAGCAGAGUAAAUGGCCCCACAGGCACAGGGCCGAGAAACAGACCACGCCAAAGGAAAUGUAGGUGUGGGACCCUGGAGUGCUGAAAGGAACACUUGGUAAGGGAAGCUCAGUGAGAACGGCAGGGUACCAAAGUCAAGAGUCUUCUGCCUGCCCUGAGCAGAAAGAAGACCAUCAUGGUGGCUGUGUUAAAAAUAGUAACUGGAAGGAAUCCCAACAAAAUACAGUUGUUGGGCAAGGACACAACAAAAACUGCAGCAAAUUGCAACAUAUAAGAAUGGAGUUAAGUCCCAGCACCUGGCAGACCUGCUGUGCCAGUAUACCCCUUCUCUUAAUGAAAACAGAAAAGAAGAAAGGAAGACUGGAGAUGUAGCUUAGUUGCAGAGUGCUUGCUUGCAUGCUGAAGACCCUGGUUUGAUCCUCAGCACUGAAAAAAAAAAAAAUGAAGAUAACCAAAAUGCAAUGAAAAAAGAAAAGAUACAUACUUUAAGUCAAUAAAUGUGUAAGACCUAAAUUACAAGCCCAUGCUAAAUGACAAAGGGCCUAGGGGACAGUGCUCUAACUCCCUCCCAUUGUAGCCAUAGCCCCAAUCUUUGUUCUAACCCUAGCCUAGGAAUGUAAGACAAUCUUGUACUGUUUGAAGUCCGGAUCCAAAUUAAUGUGUAAGUUAGUGGCUCUACACCUAGAGACCCCAAGCUAAUUGUCAAGCUGUUUGCUCAUCCAGGAUGUCUUGGUAAACUUUGAAACAUCCAAUAAUAGGUGGUAUCUGUUAACUCAUCAAUAUGUGACUGCCAAGUACGUGGCUGCUGACCACCAGCUCAAAUCAGCAGACCUUUGUCCCCUCCCUGCAAGCCUAAAAUUUAACAUUUUUUACUCCCCUAUAAAAAGGACCUCAGCCCCUGAGCUGGCGCCUCUCUGAGCCAGCUACUUGGUUCCGAGAGUGCCGUCUGGCCAGACUAAUAAAGGUCUAUUUACCAUCUAGCCUGGUGUGUUCCUUCCUGGGUUUCUCGUUCCUCCGUCGAGCUCCCGGAGCCUCGUUGGGCUAUAGGACCCAACAUUGUGGAGGCCUUUUUGGUUGUUCAUGCUCCGUGGAGUGGAAGUGAGACUUUGCGUCUUACAAAUGUAGUGGCUAUAUCAUUUGAAUGGCUAAAUUUUAGGGAUGAAUACAGAUAAAGAACUCAAAACUGUUUCUCUAAGCCAAAGAUACCUCGUUGUGCCUUGUGAGUAAAGAGCUUGAACUCUUUGAUAAAAUAGACUAGACUUUAAAUCCAUACUAUGUCUCUAUUUGCUCUGAGUCCCUUUCUGAGUCUCUUUCAUUGUCUAUAAAUUAGAUAUAAAAGCAGCUGAGUGUGGUAGCACAUGCCUAUAAGCCCAGUACUCAGGAGGCUCAGUAAGAGGGUUGCUGUGAGAUUGAGGCCAGCCUGGACUACAUGGUGAGACUCCAUCUCAAAAGAAAAAAAUAAAAAAGCUACCUUGUAAGGUAGUUUGGAUUAAAUGACCUAACCAAAAGCUCUAAAAACUAAACAGAACAAAAAUAAAAUUUAAAAAAACGUAGUAGGGGGAUUUUGAAUAGUCUUAAGACAAAGAAAAAUGUCUGAAAAAAAUAUAUAUAUAUAUAUCACACCAGUUGCCCAGAUCUGAUCAUUACACAUUGUACAUGGUUUUUUGUUUUUGUUUGUUUUUUGUUUUUUUGUUUUGGUACUAGGGAUCAAAUUCAGGACCUUGCAGUUGCCAGGCAGGAUCCCACACCACUGAGCUAAAUCCCCGCCCCGUAUACAUGUUUUUGAAAUGUUACAAUAUAUCCCCUAAAUAUG
Molecule: long non-coding RNA, 1858 nt
Organism: Fukomys damarensis (Damara mole-rat)
Lineage: Eukaryota; Metazoa; Chordata; Mammalia; Rodentia; Bathyergidae
Source: Ensembl